This is a long non-coding RNA of Marmota monax (woodchuck), 1150 nucleotides long. RefSeq lists it as uncharacterized. The record is from RefSeq and is a predicted model, not a curated record. NCBI's taxonomy places the organism in Eukaryota, Metazoa, Chordata, Mammalia, Rodentia, Sciuridae. The transcript is spliced from 4 exons.
UCAGUCUUUCUCUUCUUCCUGGGUGAGCGGUGGCCUCAGUGAGUGGCUGAGCAAACUUCCCUGCCCCACAAACUUGGGGCUUAGUUGUGAGCCUCACCUUGGACAAUGGAGUGGGGGGGGACAGCCCUUGUCCACACUGAGGCUUUCUACAUGCUUAGAACACUUGUGGAUGGCCUGCUACUUCCAGGGGAUCAUCACUACUUCAGCCACAGGAGCUGUGGACACAGCCUGCAUGCCCUGGGCCCACCCAGCUGUGCCUUGCCGAGUUGGCAGACCCACAGACCCUGGUGUCCUGCCUCCCCCUUGUAAGUCCUGCUUUGUGACUGAAGACACAGCUCUCUCUUUGACCCAGAGGAAGAGCCUGGUGGAGGGAGGCCCACAUGUGAUGAUCAUCCUGCUUCGAGAAGGGCGCUUUAUAGGUUUGGAGGAAUGUAGGCUUUCCUACAAAGAACAGCAUAUCUCACUGCAAAAAGAAAAACACAGAGAAUAGAGGACAAUUGGUGGAAUUUACAACAACGCCCCCAUUCGAGGUCAUCAGAAGGAUUGUCACACGUCGCUGUCACACUCACCAGAGCCACUGUCCCAGGAUGUGUGUGUGUUACUGAGCCACUCUCCAGGGCCACGCACUCAUGCUGUCCUGGCUUUCCCAGGAGAGAUCUUGUCUUGUGUGUCUCGUGUCUUGUCUGUCUGUCUGCCCUGGCAUGCUGGCAGGGCGAGGCCUGGAAACAGGAGGUGUGCACCUGGGGUCCAGGGCCUCAGCGGGAGUCCCAGCUCCCCACCACGGGCGUGUGGCUUAUGAAGUCACCAAUGCCACUUUCCAGCUCAGCAAGGUGCAGAUGUCUGUGGUGAGGCCCUAUCAGGUGGGAGGCCUCCCCUGGGCCGGGACAGUGAGGAGCUCGGCCACCAGACCACAUGCCCAGCACAUUGGCUGGUGUCAGGCUGUUGUGGCAAUAGAGUCCUUGUCCAUGUGACUACUGGCUUCCGGGCGAGGCCUAGAGCCAAAGGACGGACCCCAGCCCCAGUGCUCCUGGGGGCUCCCAACAGAGUUCUCUUUACUUUCCAAGGACUGUGCCAGGCUGCCCCACCCAGCGAGCCCAGCCCACCCUCCCUGCUGUGGGCCAGAGUGGUAGGCAGAGCCUUUCCAGUGUGC